Molecule: long non-coding RNA, 1279 nt
Filed under: Homo sapiens (human)
Lineage: Eukaryota; Metazoa; Chordata; Mammalia; Primates; Hominidae
Description: HSALNT0121275
Source: RNAcentral
GCAGACUUCCACUUCUGACCAUGAUGGAGUCGUUGGUUUCAGACAGACCUUCCACUGAAAAUAACUAUAAAAGAUGGGUAUAAAAACACAACAAGAAUAAGUACAACCAUUUGAAGGCAUCAGCAAGAUACCAAGGAAGCUAAGUUUCCCCAAGAGCCUGGAGUUUCAAAAGACAAAGUGAAGAUCCUGUAAAAAAGAAAAACACAUCAAGAGUGACUUCGAGCUGGGUACAUUCUAACUUAGAUGGCCUCAGCUGCAAAGCCAACUGGACUCCAGCCUUGCAGACCAGUGAGGAUGGAAAUGAUUGCAAAACCAAGAUGGACGAUGUUGAGAUGGACUCAACCCUGCUAUUGAGAUUGGCCCUUACAGGGGAGGAUAUUUGGUCUAGCGUUCAGAGUCUAAAGGCACAGAGUGAGAAUUUAUUUCAGGCAGAUAUCAAUAACCCCGAAGGCCCAGUCCAGCUGGUAGGGCAUACCUGAGAUGCAGGCAACGGGUAACAUGCAAAGUCAGGUGCACAGUGGGAUGUGGUUUGAGAGAUUAGUGCCCCUCCCCAGUGAGAUUUCCACAGCCAUCUGUGGGAUGGGGGACUGAGGCCAUUCUAGCUCCUUAGGAAGGGGCAAGAGGUCAUUGGAGGCAGGGACCUGGUGUGUAAGAGUACUGGGUGGGAAUCAGAUCAGGCAAGGACCAGGAGAGAUUGGCAGGGGGCUGAAGGGUCAGGCCUAGACACUGAGCCAGCAGGCAGUGCAGAGGGCUCAUGGCACCAGGGCUUACCCCAAGCACAAAGGCCUGAGAUGGAUUAGUCCCUAAUUUCAGACCUCUCUAGCUGUGGAUAGCUGACAUAUUUUCUUUCUCUGGGAUAAAUUAGAUGAGGACCUGGGAGGACCGCAUUUUCUGGGAGAAGCCCUGGAAUACAAGAUUUGAUAUACUUAAAGGGAGCUCACAUUCCCAUCAACCUGGAGCAACUCACCUGGGAAUGUCUGAGUUGGCCUCAAAGUCUCAGCCAAAUUCGGACCUGUCUAAGGAAUGUGGAAGCUGAAACCACCUUCACCUGGAUCUUUGCCCCGUGGCAACAUCCUUGCCCUGUGAAUUGCUGCCUACAUAUAUGGAAGUUGAAGAGAGGAGACAUGUUUUAGCCAAACAGAUAACAUAAAUGAUUUUUAUUAUGGAAUUAAAUAAUUAUGUAGAUAUAUUAGAGCAAAGUUAUUUUAUCUGGAUUGUAUUUUGGCCUAUGUGUCCUAUUCAACAACAAUCUUUUUAAAAAAAUUUACAUCCUCCUGCA